UUCCCUUUCAUGAAUGUGACCUACCGAAUUAGACUAUUUACCGGAUUUGUAAUCAAAUAAGCAACACGACGGGUGCCACAUGUGGAGCAGGAUCUGCUUACCCUUCCCGAGCACCUGAGAUCACCCCUAGGUUUUGGUGGGGUUCGUGUUGUUUAUUCUUUAGUUUCUAUGUUGUGUCAUGUGUACUAUUGUUUUUCUGUUUGUCUUUUUCAUUUUUAGCCAUGGCGUUGUCAGUUUGUUUUAGAUUUAUGAGUUUGACUGUCCCUUUGGUAU
RNAcentral lists this long non-coding RNA (273 nucleotides) under Mytilus galloprovincialis (Mediterranean mussel). Lineage: Eukaryota; Metazoa; Mollusca; Bivalvia; Mytilida; Mytilidae. The record is from RNAcentral.